This 71-nucleotide signal recognition particle RNA is filed under the name Bradyrhizobiaceae bacterium. Its description in RNAcentral is "signal recognition particle sRNA small type". It matches the Rfam family "Bacterial small signal recognition particle RNA", at positions 12 to 81 of the family's 97-position model. Rfam says of the family: The signal recognition particle (SRP) is a universally conserved ribonucleoprotein involved in the co-translational targeting of proteins to membranes. Archaeal SRP consists of a 7S RNA and homologues of the eukaryotic SRP19 and SRP54 proteins. In most bacteria, the SRP consists of a 4.5S RNA and the Ffh protein (a homologue of the eukaryotic SRP54 protein). The record is from RNAcentral. Lineage: Bacteria; Pseudomonadati; Pseudomonadota; Alphaproteobacteria; Hyphomicrobiales; Nitrobacteraceae.
GUGGACGAGCCACUCGCCAACCGGGUCAGGUCCGGAAGGAAGCAGCCCUAACGAGGUCCGGAUCGGGUCGC